This 384-nucleotide ribosomal RNA is filed under the name uncultured prokaryote. RNAcentral describes it as "bacterial SSU rRNA". It matches the Rfam family "Archaeal small subunit ribosomal RNA", at positions 341 to 725 of the family's 1478-position model. The record is from RNAcentral.
GCGAAAACUUUACAAUGCUGGCAACAGCGAUAAGGGAACCUCGAGUGCCAGGUUACAAAACUGGCUGUCGAGAUGCCUAAAAAGCAUUUCAUAGCAAGGGCCGGGCAAGACCGGUGCCAGCCGCCGCGGUAACACCGGCGGCUCGAGUGGUAACCGUUAUUAUUGGGUCUAAAGGGUCUGUAGCCGGCCGGAUAAGUCUCUUGAGAAAUCUGGCAGCUUAACUGUCAGGCUUUCAGGAGAUACUGUCUGGCUCGAGGCCGGGAGAGGUGAGAGGUACUUCAGGGGUAGGGGUGAAAUCUUGUAAUCCUUGAAGGACAACCAGUGGCGAAGGCGUCUCACCAGAACGGACCUGACGGAAAGGGACGAAAGCUAGGGGCACGAACC